GCCUGGGUGGCUCAGUCGGUUAAGCGUCCGACUUCAGCUCAGGUCACGAUCUCGCGGUCCGUGGGUUCGAGCCCCGCGUCGGGCU
Felis catus (domestic cat) is the source of this 85-nucleotide non-coding RNA. The record is from Rfam. NCBI's taxonomy places the organism in Eukaryota, Metazoa, Chordata, Mammalia, Carnivora, Felidae.